AACGAACGCUGGCGGCAGGCCUAACACAUGCAAGUCGAGCGAACCUUCGGGUUAGCGGCGGACGGGUUAGUAACGCGUGGGAACGUGCCCUUCUCUACGGAAUAGCCCAGGGAAACUUGGAGUAAUACCGUAUACGCCCUUUGGGGGAAAGAUUUAUCGGAGAAGGAUCGGCCCGCGUUGGAUUAGGUAGUUGGUGGGGUAAUGGCCUACCAAGCCGACGAUUCAUAGCUGGUUUGAGAGGAUGAUCAGCAACACCGGGACUGAGAAACGGCCCAGAACUCUACGGGGAGCAGCAGUGGGGAAUCUUAGAAAAAGGGGGAAACCCUGAUCUAGCCAUGCCGCGUGAGUGAUGAAGGCCUUAGGGUUGUAAAGCUCUUUCAGCUGGGAAGAUAAUGACGGUACCAGCAGAAGAAGCCCCGGCUAACUCCGUGCCAGCAGCCGCCGUAA
RNAcentral lists this ribosomal RNA (447 nucleotides) under uncultured bacterium. Its description in RNAcentral is "partial 16S ribosomal RNA". It matches the Rfam family "Bacterial small subunit ribosomal RNA", at positions 29 to 523 of the family's 1533-position model. The record is from RNAcentral.